This 26-nucleotide non-coding RNA is filed under the name Cricetulus griseus (Chinese hamster). The record is from RNAcentral. Lineage: Eukaryota; Metazoa; Chordata; Mammalia; Rodentia; Cricetidae.
GCACACAUCGUUGAAGCUUUGGAACU